This 1968-nucleotide long non-coding RNA is filed under the name Homo sapiens (human). RNAcentral's name for it is "HSALNT0025307". The record is from RNAcentral. Lineage: Eukaryota; Metazoa; Chordata; Mammalia; Primates; Hominidae.
UCGAAGAAGAAUAGUUCAAUUCACUUUCUGUAGAAGUGACUGAAGGAAGGGUACUUCCACAACUGCAAGCACAGAAGCCAUUAAGAGGUUGAUUCAGCGACCCAUAUAAUGGUGGCCUCAAUUAAGGGACUGGCAGUGUGGCUGAAGAAAAACACCUAGCUAAAAGAGAACAGGAAGCAGAACUAACCAGAUGUAUUGACUGACUGAAUGUAAAGAUAAGGGAGAGGGAAAAGUCAACGAUGAUCUAUAGGUUUCCUCUAAACAGUCAUUAAACAAUUAUUUACUGAGCACCAAGUAUCUACCAUGGUUCCAGGUACCAGAGAUACAUCAUCAGACAGAAGAAUGUCUCAUUUUUAUGGAGGUUAUAGUUUAGCAGAAGAUAGACAGUAAACAAAUAAGAUGUCUACAAAACCUUCUCUCAUCAUUCUUUUUUUUUUUUUAGAGUAAAGUGAAAGCAACUUUAUUAAGAAAGUAAAGGAAUAAAUGGCUUCUCCAUAGGCAGAGCAGCCAAUGUGAUCAUUCUGGCCAAUAGGCUUCUUUUGUCUUAGGUGUGCCAGAGUACACCACGCAUUUUGGAACUAGAUGGCACAGAGCAGAUUCACAUCAUAUGUACAGCUUCACUGGGAAUCCUUCAUCCCAAUGAAGCUGAUAAAGUCUGAAAUAGGACAUACACGUUAAAAGAAUGUCUGAAUGAUUGUAAGGAUUUUUCUGGCUUCUAGCAAAAAAGUAAAAUAUUGUUUGUACUUCUGAACAAUUUAAGGAAUUUUGAAAAGAACUCUGACUCUACUUUUUUCCCAUCACAUAAUGAAGAUUGAUGUAUUUAUUACUUGGUGGUGUGAAUUAGAAAUAUGAUAAAUUUAAAGUCUAACUUGUUUCCCAUCCAAACUUCCCAACUAGACUGCACUGUAUUUUUUAUUUUUCUCUAAUUGUUGUACAUGGGUAAGUAAAACUCGUGUAAGUUUCCGCAUAGUUCACACUCAUGGGAAACAAAAACUGCGCCUUGUAUAUCAUCAUCCCCCGACUGUCUGUCACUCACAGAAUUCAAGGCACAUAUGAAGUGCUCAAUAAACAAGAGCUUAGAGGAAAUCAAUGAGGCUUAGUGCAUAGCCUUAUUGCAAACUGUGGUCUCCAAUGCAAAAACAAAAUAAAACAAAAACCCCACAACUAAAAACAAAGUAGGGGAUGUUAACAAGAGAACAAGGAUAUGAAACCUAUCUCAUGAAAGAAUAAACAUUUCACACAGAAAUCAUAAAUGUUGGUAUUAAUUUUAAAUGACAUUUGUCAGCCAUAGAAAGUGAUCUCUAAUAACUCACGAUAGAGCAGUUUAAUGCCCAAAUAAUUGAAAAAAGAAUUGGAGAGGUAACCUAACGGCAGAUAAGAUUAAGUAAGGAAAAUUUCAAUCUGUGUGAAGAAGAGAAGGCUUUAAUUUUUCAACCCUUUGGGACAAUUUGGAACAUCAGGGCUCUACACCAAAACUCGACUUUAUUUAUCCUAUAUAUAUCCUUUAUUUAGGAUCCCUAAAUUUAUUUUUUACUUUCUUCAUGAACUCGUAAGUCAGUCUCCUAGGGCAUACUCAGCAUAGCAGGACCGUUUCCUACCCUCCUAUGAUUUUAUCCACAACCAAUCAGCAGCACACAUUCCCUAGCCCCUUGCCCGCCAAACUGUCCAUAAAAACCCCAGCUUCUGAGUUCUUGGUGAGACUGGUUUGAGUAAUAACUCCAGUCUUUCCACUUGGCUAGCUCUGCAUUAAUUAAACUCUUUCUUUACUGCAAUAUCGUGGGCUUGGCGAAAUGGUUUUGUGUGGGGAAAAGAAAGAGAGAUCAGACUGUUACUGUGUCUAUGUAGAGAGAAGUAGACAUAAGAGACUCCAUUUUGUUCUGUACUAAGAAAAAUUCUUCUGCCUUGGGAUGCUGUUAAUCUGUGACCUUACCCCCAACCCUGUGCUCCCUGAAACAUGUGCUGUGUCAA